UGGGGAAUUUUGGGCAAUGGGCGAAAGCCUGACCCAGCAACGCCGCGUGAAGGAUGAAGUAUUUCGGUAUGUAAACUUCGAAAGAAUAGGAAGAAUAAAUGACGGUACUAUUUAUAAGGUCCGGCUAACUACGUGCCAGCAGCCGCGGUAAUACGUAGGGACCAAGCGUUGUUCGGAUUUACUGGGCGUAAAGGGCGCGUAGGCGGCAUGACAAGUCACUUGUGAAAUCUCUGGGCUUAACCCAGAACGGCCAAGUGAUACUGUCGCGCUAGAGUGCAGAAGGGGCAAUCGGAAUUCUUGGUGUAGCGGUGAAAUGCGUAGAUAUCAAGAGGAACACCUGAGGUGAAGACGGGUUGCUGGGCUGACACUGACGCUCAUGCACGAAAGCGUGGGGAGCAAACAGGAUUAGAUACCCCAGUAGUCCCUGAGCGGGCUGGCAAGGCGCAU
Molecule: ribosomal RNA, 447 nt
Filed under: uncultured bacterium
Lineage: Bacteria
Description: bacterial SSU rRNA
Rfam family: Bacterial small subunit ribosomal RNA
Source: RNAcentral